RNAcentral lists this ribosomal RNA (425 nucleotides) under uncultured bacterium. RNAcentral describes it as "partial 16S ribosomal RNA". It matches the Rfam family "Bacterial small subunit ribosomal RNA", at positions 354 to 796 of the family's 1533-position model. The record is from RNAcentral.
GUUAGGAAUAUUGGACAAUGGGCGCAAGCCUGAUCCAGCCAUGCCGCGUGAGUGAUGAAGGCCUUCGGGUUGUAAAGCUCUUUAGUCCACGAAUAUAAUGACUGUAGUGGAAGAAUAAGCCCCGGCUAACUUCGUGCCAGCAGCCGCGGUAAUACGAAGGGGGCGAGCGUUAUUCGGAAUCACUGGGCGUAAAGCGUGCGUAGGCUGUUUUGUAAGUCAGAAGUGAAAGCCCAGGGCUUAACCCUGGAAUUGCUUUUGAAACUACAAGACUCAAAUUCGGGAGAGGAUAGCGGAAUUGUCAGUGUAGCAGUGAAAUGCGUAGAUAUUGACAGGAACACCAGUGGCGCAAGCGGCUAUCUGGACGAGUAUUGACGCUGAGGCACGAAAGCGUGGGGAUCAAACAGGAUUAGAUACCCGAGUAGUCC